This 1528-nucleotide long non-coding RNA is filed under the name Athene cunicularia (burrowing owl). RNAcentral describes it as "lncRNA (ENSACUG00000004122.1)". The record is from RNAcentral. Lineage: Eukaryota; Metazoa; Chordata; Aves; Strigiformes; Strigidae.
GUGCGAUUCUCAAUUUCAAAGUAUAUUUUUCUUGUUUUAUUGGGUAGGAAGAUUCAUGACUGAGCUAAGUACCACCUGAAAAUAUUGCAGAUCAAAGAGGAUUUGUGUUAUUGUGAAAGAUAUGUUGUGUCAGAUAUAGUAGGUUUGGAAUAAUUGAGCCAUGCUAGUCAUACAUGUAUCAUAAUUGCUCAGAGGUUUAAAAAGCUCAGAAUCAGAAAAAAACUGCCUAAGACACUUCUUUAAAAGGAAACAUUAUGCUAAUUAAAUGGUUAAUGAAUCAUACAAUUGACUAAGUUAUUUCUCCUGGUUUGGGGGAGAAGAAUACAUAAGCUUUUCUUUCUCACGUAGAAAACUUCCACAGUGAGCCAUCGUUUGGCGCCACAGGAUAAUUUGUAAACUUGCCGUACCAUGAGCCACAAAAGGUAUAUGUCUCGCUGGGAUAUGGGUAGGGCCAUGUAUACAUGUUCAUAGUCUGCAUUAAAAGGAUAUAGACUAAUCAUGGUAUUCUCAGAGUGUGGCACUUCUGCAGCUUUCUCUUAAGUAGUGCAGAUGAUCUUAAGAUGUCAAGAAUACUUACUAUUUAUGUGCUAUGAAUUAUGUUUUACUUUUAUGCUCAAUAUAAAAAUAUGAACAAUAACCUUAGAACAUUGUCUAGAAUGCAGAACUUUUUUAUAGGUGGGUGCCCUUACUACUUGAUGGUGUUAUCCUUUCUACAGUACUUUUGGAUUAGUGAAUCCUUGUAACAGCUUCAACAGGAGUGUUGGACUGUCCUCAUCCAGAAAAAUGCUCUUCUGAUGAUAGGGCAGAUUGCAGAGGGAGGCUUCAAUGUACUGGGCAAAACCAAUCUCAGGAGCGUCACUUGCUGGUCAUAUGCUGCAAUUGUUAGGCUAUAUUAUAUAAAAGAACUGAUGGAAAUAACUAAAAGGGAGAAAAUUCUGGAAGAACUAGGAGAGAUAAAGAAGAAUUUACAUGAUUUGUGUAACUUAAAGUUGCUUAAGAAAAGAGUAACUUCUUCCCCUGUUUUAUGACCUUGGGGAUCAUUUUUAUUUGGAAAAGAAAACCAACCAAAGAGCACAGAAAUGGUUUUGUACUUAAAAUUAUGUGCCCUUAAUUAUACUUCAAAAAAUGGUACCGUUAGUGAUGAUCUAAUCUAAUGUAAUUCCAUUGGUUUGGUAAAUUCACUUCUAAAUAUAAGCUCUGAUGUUCUACAAACAUCACAGUGGUGCUUCCCUUCCACAAAGACUUCAAUUCUAUAAUCCAGAAUUAACGUGACAGUAUAUUUAAAGUAAUAUAAAUGUAGUUACACAGUUACUGAUAUGAGAAAUUAAAAAUGCAGUCUCCACAGAUAUUUGUAUUUGCAGCAAUUCCCCCAAAUAUGCAGCAGUUUGCAUGAUACUGGAGAAUUUUAGUUUAUCUAAAAUUAAGCUAAUUGAAACUGUGGUUUAUGAUUUGCAAUCUUUACGUGUUUUAUAAUACAUGAGAGUUAAACAAGUGAACUUGUUCUCCUUUGCAUUGUAAAGACUCAACU